GCCAGUGUAGCUCAGGGGUAGAGCAACUGAUUCGUAAUCAGUAGGUCGCGGGUUCAAUUCCCGCCACUGGCU
RNAcentral lists this transfer RNA (72 nucleotides) under Chthoniobacteraceae bacterium. RNAcentral's name for it is "tRNA-Thr". It matches the Rfam family "tRNA". Rfam says of the family: Transfer RNA (tRNA) molecules are approximately 80 nucleotides in length. The record is from RNAcentral. Lineage: Bacteria; Pseudomonadati; Verrucomicrobiota; Spartobacteria; Chthoniobacterales; Chthoniobacteraceae.